UCCAGCUCCGCUCCCCGGUUCUAGCGGCUCCGCAUUCCUCCAGUGGUUAACCCGGGCGCUGCUGACAGGUUCACGGAAACAACGUCAGCACAAAAACACAACUUUUAAAACUUCCCCAACAAUAAAAAGCCUCUGAUAAUCCCACACCGGCAGGGCAGCCUUUCAGCAGCAGAGCGUUGGGUUGUCGGUUCGACUCUCCCACGCUGACGUUCCCACAGAGCGACUCCCUCAGGCGCCGGCGUGACUCACCCGACCUGCUCCAGACGAGAUGCUCCUCGCUCGUCUCCUCGUGGACGUGUUUGACUCCAGUCGAGGAAAAUACAAGAAGAGCCCUGACAGGUUUAUUUUGUUUAUUUUCCAGAGAUGUGAGACAUUUACACUUCAGGCCUUUUGAAAGAACACGUGUGGGACAGAUAUUUAUUUGAGUGACAAAGGGAUUUCCAUUUGGAUAUAUAAUGCAAACUCUAUUUCAGAUCUUUCUUAGUAUUGUUGGCAAAUGGUCUUAAGGUCAGAAACUUAAUUUCCUCCAGAACUAAAAUCCCUGUAACCUCAGUGUAGUGAAGGAAACGGGCCUCGGGUUGGAUUUGUCAGGAAUUAAAUUUGAAAACAUAUUAAUGUGCAUAGUUUGAGCUGAAAUUCCGACGUCCCAUUAAGUGACGAGGCGAGCAGGCAUUCGCUCAUUAUCUCUGCAUGAGCCAGUCCCGAUAGCAGAUAAUGAGAAAAGUUUGGGUGGAGCAGAAAGGGAGUGAGGCGCCCGUCCUAUAAAUAAACCCUGAUCUGUGGGCUCAGGUCACACUGCUGCAUUUUUAGCAUUUUUCUGUCUGCUCCUUGAGAAGAGAGAGAGAGGAAAGAAAGAAUCAGGGGGCAUGAGGGUUGUCGCUGAGCGUUUCCUGUCAACACAAACGCUGGUGGGUUUAAAUCCCAUCAAACAACCCGGGGAUGUAAACAAGUGCGUCUAGACUCCAGAUGUUAGAUUCAUGCAGCCUCUCAGAAAAUAUUUAUCCAUAAUGAAUGAACAUAUCAGCAGAUUUGUAAUCCAGGACAAGUGUCUGUUUCAGUCAGAGGCUGCUCAGGUGGUUUGAACUCACUCCUCAGGUCACACACCUCACCUUCAACUCAGGUUUCCCCUGUGAGACGCACAGAUGGACCAGAUGGCAGGUGCAGAUAAGAGAGGCCAGAUCACCUCGAUCGCCCCCUGGUGGCUGGCUGCAUCGCAGGUCAUGAACCCUGUCUCCUCUGUAUUCUGUCUUCAGAUGACAUCCAAGAUGGCGGCACCCACAUCCAGGAUGUUUUGGCUUCAUUUCUGUACAAAGGGAGGAAGUGGAGGCCUCUAGUUCUGCAGUCUACAGGCAAAACUGUCAAUCAGACUUUGAGGGGAUGAUCCUGUAUCUGACCCGUUUAGCUUCCUGUCACUCGCCUGCUGUGGUGUCGAGCUUCGG
Molecule: long non-coding RNA, 1439 nt
Organism: Platichthys flesus (European flounder)
Lineage: Eukaryota; Metazoa; Chordata; Actinopteri; Pleuronectiformes; Pleuronectidae
Exons: 4
Source: RefSeq, a predicted model, not a curated record